RNAcentral lists this ribosomal RNA (686 nucleotides) under uncultured bacterium. Its description in RNAcentral is "bacterial SSU rRNA". It matches the Rfam family "Bacterial small subunit ribosomal RNA", at positions 32 to 715 of the family's 1533-position model. The record is from RNAcentral.
AACGCUAGCUACAGGCUUAACACAUGCAAGUCGAGGGGCAUCAGGGUAGCAAUACCGCUGGCGACCGGCGCACGGGUGAGUAACACGUAUCCAACCUACCGUUAACUCGGGGAUAGCCUUUCGAAAGAAAGAUUAAUACCCGAUAGUAUAUUUUCUUCGCAUGUUGAAAAUAUUAAAGAAUUUCGGUUAUCGAUGGGGAUGCGUUCCAUUAGGCAGUUGGCGGGGUAACGGCCCACCAAACCUACGAUGGAUAGGGGUUCUGAGAGGAAGGUCCCCCACAUUGGAACUGAGACACGGUCCAAACUCCUACGGGAGGCAGCAGUGAGGAAUAUUGGUCAAUGGACGAGAGUCUGAACCAGCCAAGUAGCGUGAAGGAUGACUGCCCUAUGGGUUGUAAACUUCUUUUAUAUGGGAAUAAAGUUCUCCACGUGUGGAGUUUUGUAUGUACCAUUAUGAAUAAGCAUCGGCUAACUCCGUGCCAGCAGCCGCGGUAAUACGGAGGAUGCGAGCGUUAUCCGGAUUUAUUGGGUUUAAAGGGAGCGUAGGUGGACUGGUAAGUCAGUUGUGAAAGUUUGCGGCUCAACCGUAAAAUUGCAGUUGAUACUGUCAGUCUUGAGUACAGUAGAGGUGGGCGGAAUUCGUGGUGUAGCGGUGAAACGCUUAGAUAUCACGAAGAACUCCGAUUG